UUAUUAUAGUAUUAAUGAAUGGGUGUUUUUAUAAUGGCCCUGUUAUAUGUCCAAGGUCUGUUAUAAUGGUCGAGGAAGUCUGUAAUGGCCCGAGGCAACGCCGAGGGCCAUUACAGACAUCCGAGGCCAUUAUUACUGACCAAGGACAUAUAACAGAGCCAUUAUAAAAACACCCAUUUCUUAAUACAUUUAUUAACCAACUGAAUAACAGUGUAUGUGUUAAUAUACCAAAUAUUCAAGAUAUUAAGUUGACAGAAGUUAUGUGUUGAAAAACAGGAGGAACAGUGAUCCCUAUAUAUGGUUCUUUAAUGUUGGUUGCUGGUUAUUAAAUUAAAUAAAAUACAAAAAAGUAUUAUACUCUUUACAACUUAAUUUUAUUAACUUUAUUAAAAACCCUUACUGUGCUUUAUACAGACAAACCGGGCA
RNAcentral lists this long non-coding RNA (426 nucleotides) under Mytilus galloprovincialis (Mediterranean mussel). Lineage: Eukaryota; Metazoa; Mollusca; Bivalvia; Mytilida; Mytilidae. The record is from RNAcentral.